UUCUUCACUUUUACUUGUUUUUGAACCGACUGUUCUUCUAUCAAGGAUUUCUCCUUGAAGAAAGUAGCUCUUUACCAGCCGCAUAUACCUCGGCUUCAUCAGCCGAUUCUUCACUUUCACUUGAUUAGCUCGGCUCUUUUUGAACCGACUGUUCUUCUAGCAAGAAUUUCUCCUUGCCUUUGCUUUGAUUUUUACAUUGGCUCCAUUACAGCCGAUUGUCCUCACUUUUCUUACGGAAUUACUCAUAUUGGGCAACUCUAACACCUAGAAAAAUACUUAUCUUCAAAAUGGUCUUUUAUCUUAAAAUGUAGACCAUUUAAUGUCAUUUUGGCGAACUCUGAUUCCGGCAUUCUCAUAAAACACCGAAUUUUGGCUAUUUUAAAACGGUUCAAAUACUCUUCCAUCGUUUCACCUGACUUUUGUCGGUAUA
Molecule: long non-coding RNA, 430 nt
Filed under: Ananas comosus (pineapple)
Lineage: Eukaryota; Viridiplantae; Streptophyta; Magnoliopsida; Poales; Bromeliaceae
Description: long non-coding RNA (ACOM_LNC041662)
Source: RNAcentral